This is a long non-coding RNA of Leptidea sinapis, 387 nucleotides long. RefSeq lists it as uncharacterized. NCBI's taxonomy places the organism in Eukaryota, Metazoa, Arthropoda, Insecta, Lepidoptera, Pieridae. The transcript has 3 exons. The record is from RefSeq and is a predicted model, not a curated record.
UUGUUUUUGUAGUGUCAAGUGUUUUGUUAUUGUCUUGUGUAUCAUGUUUCCAAUAGAUCCAAAAAUAAAAUACAAUGGAUAAAUGCAACAGGAUGAACUGAUUUAUGGGUGCCAAGUAAAUAUGCAAUAAUUUGUUCAGUCCACUAUUAUUCAACACAAGUAGUCAGAAAAGAUAAAAACAAACGAUCGCAAGCAACAUCCAGCGGAUACCGGAACUCACGUGCAAAGGUUAUGUAAGCAGCAGAGUGGCCCGUGCCUUGGUUAGGCGCCGCGGCAGUAUUAAACGCAAAUCUCACGGAAGGUAAUGCUUCUGGCCACCGACUAUGCUCAGGAUCGAUAAGUAUCGCCAGCAUCUGUUUCCUUUUAGCAGGGUUAGCUUAGGUGUGG